UUUAUAUCAAUUGGCUAAAUACAGCACAUCUGGUUCAGCUAAACUAAAAA
This 50-nucleotide small RNA is filed under the name Arabidopsis thaliana (thale cress). RNAcentral describes it as "ATSL280820". Lineage: Eukaryota; Viridiplantae; Streptophyta; Magnoliopsida; Brassicales; Brassicaceae. The record is from RNAcentral.